UGGGGAAUAUUGCACAAUGGGCGAAAGCCUGAUGCAGCGACGCCGCGUGCGGGAUGAAGGCCUUCGGGUUGUAAACCGCUUUUAAUUGGGAGCAAGCGAGAGUGAGUGUACCUUUUGAAUAAGCACCGGCUAACUACGUGCCAGCAGCCGCGGUAAUACGUAGGGUGCAAGCGUUAUCCGGAAUUAUUGGGCGUAAAGAGCUCGUAGGCGGUUUGUCACGCCUGGUGUGAAAGUCCAUCGCUUAACGGUGGAUCUGCGCCGGGUACGGGCAGGCUAGAGUGCAGUAGGGGAGAUUGGAAUUCCCGGUGUAACGGUGGAAUGUGUAGAUAUCGGGAAGAACACCAAUGGCGAAGGCAGAUCUCUAGGCUGUUACUGACGCUGAGGAGCGAAAGCAUGGGGAGCGAACAGGAUUAGAUACCCUGGUAGUCCAUGCCGU
RNAcentral lists this ribosomal RNA (436 nucleotides) under uncultured bacterium. Its description in RNAcentral is "partial 16S ribosomal RNA". It matches the Rfam family "Bacterial small subunit ribosomal RNA", at positions 355 to 803 of the family's 1533-position model. The record is from RNAcentral.